Molecule: ribosomal RNA, 494 nt
Filed under: uncultured bacterium
Lineage: Bacteria
Description: partial 16S ribosomal RNA
Rfam family: Bacterial small subunit ribosomal RNA
Source: RNAcentral
GACGAACGCUGGCGGCGUGCUUAACACAUGCAAGUCGAACGGUGAAGCGCCUUCCUUUUUGGUGGGUGUGGAUGAGUGGCGAACGGGUGAGUAACACGUGAGUAACCUGCCCCCUUCUUCUGGAUAACCGCAUGAAAGUGUGGCUAAUACGGGAUAUUCUGGGUCUGUCGCAUGAUGGGUCUGGGAAAGAUAUUGUUUCGGUGGGGGAUGGGCUCGCGGCCUAUCAGCUUGUUGGUGGGGUGAUGGCCUACCAAGGCGGUGACGGGUAGCCGGCCUGAGAGGGUGUACGGUCACACUGGGACGGAGACACGGCACAGACUCCUACGGGAGGCAGCAGUGGGGAAUAUUGCACAAUGGGCGCAAGCCUGAUGCAGCGACGCCGCGUGAGGGAUGGAGGCCUUCGGGUUGUGAACCUCUUUCGCCAGUGAAGCAGGCCUGCCUCGUUUGUGGGUGGGUUGACGGUAGCUGGAUAAGAAGCGCCGGCUAACUACGUG